AGGACGAACGCUGGCGGUGUGCCUCAUACAUGCAAGUCGAACGAGAAACUCACUUCGGUGAGUGGAAAGUGGCGGACGGGUGAGUAAUAUGUAGGAAAUCUGCCCUAGAGAGGGGGACAACAGAGGGAAACUUCUGCUAAUACCCCAUACGAGCUUGGUUGAAAUACCAAUCUUGAAAACUCCGGUGCUCUAGGAUGAGCCUGCAUCUGAUUAGCUAGUUGGUGGUGUAAUGGACCACAAAGGCGACGAUCAGUAGCUGGUUUGAGAGGAUGAUCAGCCACAAUGGGACUGAGACACGGCCCAUACUCCUACGGGAGGCAGCAGUAGGGAAUUUUGCGCAAUGGGGGAAACCCUGACGCAGCAACACCGCGUGAAUGUUAAGCCCUUCGGGGUAUAAAGUUCUGUCAAUGGGGAAGAAUAAAUGACUGUACCCAUAAAGGAAGCACCGGCUAACUCCGUGCCAGCCGCCGC
This 471-nucleotide ribosomal RNA is filed under the name uncultured bacterium. Its description in RNAcentral is "bacterial SSU rRNA". It matches the Rfam family "Bacterial small subunit ribosomal RNA", at positions 26 to 518 of the family's 1533-position model. The record is from RNAcentral.